RNAcentral lists this ribosomal RNA (253 nucleotides) under uncultured bacterium. RNAcentral's name for it is "partial 16S ribosomal RNA". It matches the Rfam family "Bacterial small subunit ribosomal RNA", at positions 524 to 776 of the family's 1533-position model. The record is from RNAcentral.
UACAUGGGGUGCAAACGUUGCUCGGAAUUAUUGGGCGUAAAGCGCACGUAGGCGGUUUGUUAAGUCGGAUGUGAAAUCCCUUGGCUCAACUGAGGAAGUGCAUCCGAAACUGGCAAGCUUGAGUACGAAAGAGGAUCGCGGAAUUCCCGGUGUAGAGGUGAAAUUCGUAGAUAUCGGGAGGAACACCGGUGGCGAAGGCGGCGAUCUGGGUCGAUACUGACGCUGAGGUGCGAAAGCGUGGGGAGCAAACAGG